UCCGUGUGCCUUUUCGUUGGAUUUUCUUCCUGCUAUACACGUGUUGCUCAUCCAAGAACGGAAGAAAGAUGGAAAAUCAGGGAUCUUCCAUUUGCUUCCACGGAUUUCUCGAUCUCUCUCGAGCUCAGGUUCGUCUCUCUCUGUCUCUCAAUUUUUUUUUUUUUCAAUUCGUGAUCGAAUUUUCUUUCCAAAUAAUGUUAGGUCCGUUGCCUUCGGGAAGAAAGUUUAAACCUAGAAAAGCAUGGUUUUCAGGAAAUCGUCAAUCCUGCAGAAACCUUGGGUUUCCUGAUUUCAUCAGCUAUUUCAUCAAUUUUUCGAUUCGAUCAGGAUCGGUUUUUUACCCACGAAAUCUAGCAUGUUCUGAUCCAGCUUGGGUGUAUGAUCAGGAGACCUUGCUGUUUGUUUUUAGGCUUCGGUGUAUAGACUUCGAAGCCCUUUGUGCACAAGGUGGUAAUCGAAGAAGUUUGUCAAGGGCCAAGGAGGAUUGGAUUUCAGAUUGGCAGAAAUACAAGGCCUCCCUCUCUGUUGCAGAAGAUGGGGGCUUUGGAUUUAAAGAAGGUGGUGACAGGCACCAGGGGUGGCUUCUCAUCAUUUGCAAUUGGUUACAUGGGGUGUUUUCUAUUUAUUGGCUAAUAUGUUGAGCCUUUUAGUCAUCGGAUACUGGUUGGAGAAAGAGUUCAACUUUGCGGUUAAAGAGGGGUGCGAGGAAACUUUAGAAAAUAUUAAGGAAGGUUCUGAUGAAUUCUCAUUUAGAGUUGGUGACAACCAAUCGACUCAUCACCAACUUCAGAUCAAGAUUCAAGCAUGCCUUAAAUGUAAAGCUUGCAUUAAGAUUCAGCUCUCCGAUCCGAAAGACCUUAAGAUUGAUGGCUGAAUUAUUCAACGCGCGGGCAUUGAUUUCUAGUACAAACUAAUGCACAGCUUAGGCUAAUUUGUCACUAAGGAAAAGAUGACAAUAACAUAGUUUCUACUAACCUUAACUUCAUUAGCCAUCUCACCGGUAAGAUUGACCUGCUGUUGUAUUCCAGACUUUGCCGCGUCCAUUGUGGCCGCAUUGAAUAGUCUUAUUGCUUCACGAACAUGCUCCUCAGUAGCUUCGUGGCGCCUGAAUUUGACAUUGUGGUUUUCAAUAGUGAUGUUCUAGUUCACGUUCAUGUUAAUAAACAUUACAACUGGAAGUCCUAACUCCUAAGCAUCAAUCAAUAUCACUAAUACUUACAGUUGCAUUUUUGCAAGGGCCUCACUCAACCUCACUAUAGCUUCAAGCUGCCUUACGGUGAUUGGCACUGCUGCGGCCUCCCCUGUUUCAUUCGCUAGCUGUCUCAUGUCCUAUAACAAAAUUCAUGAAGAUGAUGUCAAUCGGAUCCUUGAGAACCAUAUACCAAUAUGUGGAUCCAGUUAACAGAGAAACCAAAUGGGACUUCCAUAGAACUUGUAGCAUGAUCAACUUCUUUGAGGACCAUAUGAGAAUUUUUGGCUCUCUCGAUGCAGUUUCUGAUAAGCAGGGGUGACAUUCAGUUCGACAAUAUUGUAUGUACCUACAAUGUCGCAAAGAAAAAGAAUUCAACAUCUCAUUGAUAUUGCAAUGGCACCAUUUUAUAACGAAUGUAUGAACUUGUGUUUCAAAGUGGUAUACCUCUUCAGCCAAUUCUCUUCUUUAGAAACUACUCUACCAUCACCCAGUGCUGCACCAGCAGAUGCAUGAACCUUUAUGAUAUGACUCGCUAUAGUCUGUCAUUGAAAAGCCGAGUCAAGCUACCGAUGAAAAAGGAAGUACGAUCAAAGUGGACCAGCAGUGACACUCAAAGAUAUAGUACAUGUUAGGUGUUGAAAUGCCACCUAAAAGAAAACAAGAAGAAUUGUACUCCCAAAGUAAUUGAGCAAAACACUUCGAAUUAGCAAUAUUAAAAAUACCUUAUCCUGACUGUA
Pyrus x bretschneideri (Chinese white pear) is the source of this 1929-nucleotide RNA transcript. RefSeq lists it as uncharacterized. The record is from RefSeq and is a predicted model, not a curated record. The transcript is spliced from 11 exons. NCBI's taxonomy places the organism in Eukaryota, Viridiplantae, Streptophyta, Magnoliopsida, Rosales, Rosaceae.